RNAcentral lists this non-coding RNA (39 nucleotides) under Sus scrofa (pig). The record is from RNAcentral. Lineage: Eukaryota; Metazoa; Chordata; Mammalia; Artiodactyla; Suidae.
AUGGUGAGUGUGGACGUGUCUCGUGCAUCCUCUCUACCC